Molecule: long non-coding RNA, 211 nt
Organism: Bombina bombina (fire-bellied toad)
Lineage: Eukaryota; Metazoa; Chordata; Amphibia; Anura; Bombinatoridae
Exons: 3
Source: RefSeq, a predicted model, not a curated record
AAGGGUUCACUGAACAAUACACAUAACCGCCAGGUCCCGGAGUUUGAAUUCUAGUGCAUGGGCACUCGCAGCAUAUGUCCGUAUGCCACUGAAAAACAAAUAAAAAGCUACGCAGAUUCGCAUGGAUCACAGAGUGAACAGCUGUGGGAAUAGAAAUCAGCAACAUGAAUGAAAGGUGGAAGUCUGAGACAAGUAGCUUAUGGACAAGAUG